CAGCCGUAAACUAUGCGCGUUAGGUGUACUGGUGACCACGAGUCACCGGGGUGCCGAAGGGAAACCGUGAAACGUGCCGCCUGGGAAGUACGGUCGCAAGGCUGAAACUUAAAGGAAUUGGCGGGGGAGCACCACAACAGGUGGAGCCUGCGGUUUAAUUGGACUCAACGCCGGAAAUCUCACCGGAUAAGACAGCAGAAUGAUUGCCGGGCUGAAGACUCUGCAUGACUAGCUGAGAGGUGGUGCAUGGCGUCAGUGACU
This 261-nucleotide ribosomal RNA is filed under the name uncultured archaeon. RNAcentral's name for it is "partial 16S ribosomal RNA". It matches the Rfam family "Archaeal small subunit ribosomal RNA", at positions 748 to 1008 of the family's 1478-position model. The record is from RNAcentral.